CAGUCGCCGCGGUAAUACGUAGGUGGCAAGCGUUGUCCGGAAUUAUUGGGCGUAAAGGGCUCGCAGGCGGUUUCUUCAGUCUGAUGUGAAAGCCCCCGGCUCAACCGGGGAGGGUCAUUGGAAACUGGGAAACUUGAGUGCAGAAGAGGAGAGUGGAAUUCCACGUGUAGCGGUGAAAUGCGUAGAGAUGUGGAGGAACACCAGUGGCGAAGGCGACUCUCUGGUCUGUAACUGACGCUGAGGAGCGAAAGCGUGGGGAGCGAACAGGAUUAGAUACCCGCGUAGUCCCUGUCUCUUAUAU
RNAcentral lists this ribosomal RNA (301 nucleotides) under uncultured bacterium. Its description in RNAcentral is "partial 16S ribosomal RNA". It matches the Rfam family "Bacterial small subunit ribosomal RNA", at positions 509 to 809 of the family's 1533-position model. The record is from RNAcentral.